Molecule: transfer RNA, 82 nt
Filed under: Ixodes scapularis (black-legged tick)
Lineage: Eukaryota; Metazoa; Arthropoda; Arachnida; Ixodida; Ixodidae
Rfam family: tRNA
About the family: Transfer RNA (tRNA) molecules are approximately 80 nucleotides in length. Their secondary structure includes four short double-helical elements and three loops (D, anti-codon, and T loops). Further hydrogen bonds mediate the characteristic L-shaped molecular structure. tRNAs have two regions of fundamental functional importance: the anti-codon, which is responsible for specific mRNA codon recognition, and the 3' end, to which the tRNAs corresponding amino acid is attached (by aminoacyl-tRNA synthetases). tRNAs cope with the degeneracy of the genetic code in two manners: having more than one tRNA (with a specific anti-codon) for a particular amino acid; and 'wobble' base-pairing, i.e. permitting non-standard base-pairing at the 3rd anti-codon position.
Source: Rfam by way of RNAcentral
GCAGUCGUGCCCGAGUGGUUAAGGUGAUGGACUAGAAAUCCAUUGAGGUCUCCCCGCACAGGUUCAAAUCCUGUCGACUGCG